RNAcentral lists this ribosomal RNA (493 nucleotides) under uncultured bacterium. RNAcentral's name for it is "partial 16S ribosomal RNA". It matches the Rfam family "Bacterial small subunit ribosomal RNA", at positions 29 to 523 of the family's 1533-position model. The record is from RNAcentral.
AUUGAACGCUGGCGGCAUGCUUUCCACAUGCAAGUCGAACGGUAACAGGUCAAGCUGACGAGUGGCGAACGGGAGAGCAAUGCAUCGGAACGUGCCCGAUCGUGGGGGAUAACGCAGCGAAAGCUGCGCCAAUACCGCACACGAUCUGCGGAUGAAAGCGGGGGACCGUAAGGCCUCGCGGGCUCGGAGCGGCCGAUGUCAGAUUAGGUAGUUGGCGGGGUAAAGGCCCCCCAAGCCGACGGUCUGUAGCUGGUCGGAGAGGACGACCAGCCACACUGGGACUGAGACACGGCCCAGACUCCUACGGGAGGCAGCAGUGGGGAAUUGUGGACAAUGGGGGCAACCCUGAUCCAGCCAGGCCGCGUGAGUGAAGACGGCCUUCGGGAUGUAAAGCUCUUUCGCGAGGGAAGAAAGCGCACUGGUUAAUACCUGGUGUGGAUGACGGUACCUUGAUAAGAAGCACCGGCUAACUACGUGCCAGCAGCCGCAGUAA